UUGACCUCAAAUCAGGUAGGACUACCCGCUGAACUUAAGCAUAUCAAUAAGCGGAGGAAAAGAAACUAACAAGGAUUCCCCUAGUAACUGCGAGUGAAGAGGGAAAAGCUCAAAUUUAAAAUCUGGCAGCUUCGCUGUCCGAGUUGUAAUUUAGAGAAGUGUUACCCGCGUUGGACCGUGUACAAGUCUCCUGGAACGGAGCGUCAUAGAGGGUGAGAAUCCCGUCUUUGACACGGACUACCAAGGCUUUGUGGUACGCUCUCGAAGAGUCGAGUUGUUUGGGAAUGCAGCUCUAAAUGGGUGGUAAAUUCCAUCUAAAGCUAAAUAUUGGCGAGAGACCGAUAGCAAACAAGUACCGUGAGGGAAAGAUGAAAAGAACUUUGGAAAGAGAGUUAAACAGUACGUGAAAUUGUUGAAAGGGAAACGCUUAAAGUCCAGUCGCGUUGGUUAGGAAUCAGCCUUGGUUUUCCUUGGUGUAUUUCCUAAUCGACGGGUCAACAUCAGUUUUGACCGUUGGAUAAAGGUCGAGGGAAUGUGGCACCUUCGGGUGUGUUAUAGCCCUUGAUUGUAUACAGCGGUUGGGACUGAGGAACUCAGCACGCCGAAAGGCCGGGUCUUGUACCACGUU
Molecule: ribosomal RNA, 628 nt
Filed under: Armillaria cf. ostoyae UBC F14310
Lineage: Eukaryota; Fungi; Basidiomycota; Agaricomycetes; Agaricales; Physalacriaceae
Description: eukaryotic LSU rRNA
Rfam family: Eukaryotic large subunit ribosomal RNA
Source: RNAcentral